Molecule: ribosomal RNA, 433 nt
Filed under: uncultured bacterium
Lineage: Bacteria
Description: partial 16S ribosomal RNA
Rfam family: Bacterial small subunit ribosomal RNA
Source: RNAcentral
AACGAACGCUGGCGGCAGGCUUAACACAUGCAAGUCGAGCGCAUGCUUCGGGGUGAGCGGCGGACGGGUGAGUAACGCGUGGGAACGUGCCCUCUUCUACGGAAUAGCCUCGGGAAACUGAGAGUAAUGCCGUAUACGCCCGCAAGGGGAAAGAUUUAUCGGAGGAGGAUCGGCCCGCGUUGGAUUAGGUAGUUGGUGGGGUAACGGCCUACCAAGCCGACGAUCCAUAGCUGGUUUGAGAGGAUGAUCAGCCACACUGGGACUGAGACACGGCCCAGACUCCUACGGGAGGCAGCAGUGGGGAGUCUUGGACAAUGGGGGCAACCCUGAUCCAGCCAUGCCGCGUGAUCGAUGAAGGCCUUAGGGUUGUAAAGAUCUUUCAGCUGGGAAGAUAAUGACGGUACCAGCAGAAGAAGCCCCGGCUAACUCCGUG